AAUAUUGGACAAUGGGGGAAACCCUGAUCCAGCCAUCCCGCGUGUGUGAAGAAGGCCUUUUGGUUGUAAAGCACUUUAAGCAGUGAAGAAGACUCUUCGGUUAAUACCCGGAGACGAUGACAUUAGCUGCAGAAUAAGCACCGGCUAACUCUGUGCCAGCAGCCGCGGUAAUACAGAGGGUGCAAGCGUUAAUCGGAAUUACUGGGCGUAAAGCGAGCGUAGGUGGCUUGAUAAGUCAGAUGUGAAAUCCCCGGGCUUAACCUGGGAACUGCAUCUGAUACUGUCAGGCUAGAGUAGGUGAGAGGAAGGUAGAAUUCCAGGUGUAGCGGUGAAAUGCGUAGAGAUCUGGAGGAAUACCGAUGGCGAAGGCAGCCUUCUGGCAUCAUACUGACAUUGAGGCUGGAAAGCGUGGGUAGCAAACAGGAUUAGAUACCCUGGUAGUCCACCCCGUAAACGAUGUCUACUAGUCGUUGGGUCCCUUGAGGACUUAGUGACGCAGCUAACGCAAUAAGUAGACC
This 518-nucleotide ribosomal RNA is filed under the name uncultured bacterium. RNAcentral's name for it is "bacterial SSU rRNA". It matches the Rfam family "Bacterial small subunit ribosomal RNA", at positions 360 to 870 of the family's 1533-position model. The record is from RNAcentral.